RNAcentral lists this long non-coding RNA (2048 nucleotides) under Lathyrus oleraceus (garden pea). RNAcentral describes it as "Pisum sativum (pea) long non-coding RNA (PSAT_LNC013098)". Lineage: Eukaryota; Viridiplantae; Streptophyta; Magnoliopsida; Fabales; Fabaceae. The record is from RNAcentral.
AAAAAAUGAAAUCGAAUUUAAAUAAUGAAAAAACGUGCUAGGGUCAAAAGAGAGUUUAUGCAUGACUCCGAUGUAAACCUCAUUGUGUGCCACCACGCCGGAAAUCGCCUUCGGCGGCGGUGGCCACCAAAAACACAGAUUUGACCCACCAUCUAGCUCGUCUUCUCAUGCUCUUCCUAAACCUUCCCUCAAUUCCAUGAAAAUCUAAACCUAAAGUUGUAACCGAAUCAUGAUAUCCCAAGAACCCUAGGUGUUGGAAGUUAAAUUACAUGCUCCUUACGAGGAAUUUAAGCUUGAGACCCUAGAGCUUUGGUUCCUCCCUCAACACUCUACGUCAUGGUAUAAAAGAAUUGUGAAAAGUGAAGGUUUCAGAAGUUACCUUGCCGGAGACGACGAAGGCGACGACGAAUUUCCGAUGAGUCCUUCUUACUCUGAAUCUCUUUUUUUGCUCUUGAUUAUACAACCUUCUUCUCGUUGUUUAUGUUGUGUUCACCGUGAUUGAAUUGAACCGAGUUAGUGAGUGAAGCUUGAGAGGUUAUGGUGAGUGAUUGAGUUGUGAGAGUUCUAGGUUGGUGAAGGUUGAUGAAUGAUGGAGACAAGUUUUUGGGGAGGAGAGGUUUUUGGAAUUUGAGAGGUUUAUGAGGAUUUUCUGAUUGUUGAGAAUGAGAGGUUUAAUGAUUGAAUUUUGGUAAAAAUGAUUUCCCUCCUCCUAAUUGAGGAGAUGAUGAAUUUUAUUUAUGAGUUGUUAUGAUGUGGCCUAGGGAUCUGAGAAAUCAGUUAGGGAAGUUUGUUGUAAUUGAAAUAUUCAUGAAAUCGAGGAAAAGUGGUUAUGAGUUUUGUUAUUGUAGUUAGUUAGGUUAGUUGAUAUUUGGUGGUGAUGGAUUCUUGCAACUAGGGUGUGCUGGUAUGCAUUUUCUUUUCCCUAUUUCCACUUCUGCAUGUUAUUGUUUUGCUGCUAUUAAUAUGUGUUUGCAUUGUAGCUGCCUUGUACUAUGACCUUGAUGCUUGGAUGUGCAUUAUGAAUGAAUUAUAUUGUUAAUUUAAUGCCUUUCCAUGCUAGUGUUGUGACCUGAUUAAUGUAUUAUGAUAUGUCAAGCCGGUGUUCAACUGAAUUACUGUUGAUGUCUUCAUGCUCCAUUUCGAUUUUCAUGACUUGGUUUGUUGUGCUUUGACUUGUUUGCAAGGUUUUGUACUGGUCUUGUUGGUUUGGCCAUGUCAUGGAGAUGCUAUGAUUGAGUUUGAGAAGGUUUUGUGUUGUAUGAUUUGUUGCAUGAUGCCUUGGUCAGGUUGAUGAAUAAAGGUCUGUUAUGUUGGGCAUGUACAUGAUGUAUGUUACAGACUCAAGUUUGAUGUCUUAAUGUGUAUGGCACCUGCUUGGACUGAUGGUAUGCAUGUCUACCAUUAACUUGAGUUGCUGCAAUUUUAUUUUAUGUUGGAUGGUGCAUGGUUGAAUGCUUCUAACUACUACAGGUUUAUGGUGGAUGCAUAAUGGUUUUAUUGUCUUGGUUUCAUGUUAUGGAAAUGGAUGGUUUACAUGCUAUUUGAUGCAUGACUGCUUUUGUUUUGCUUGGUUUGAAUUAAUGGUAUGCAUUAUGGUAACAUGUAUGUGUAUGCAAUGUUAAUGAUUCUUAUGCUAUGUGUUGUUAAGAAUGUGGUUAUCAUGGUUGUGAAAUGAAUUGAAUGCAUGGUUGUUGCUAGUGAUGGGGUAUGGCUCAUGAACUUAAGACAUUUGGAGCAAGACCACCAUGAAUGACUUGAAGAAAAUGGUUACUUACAAAUGAAGAAAUUUGGCAAUGAAGUUGAAAAUGAAAAUAAAAGCAUGAAGAGCAAAGUGGAAACUCGGCAUUAGGUUUAGGGAUUUAGAUGAGUUGACUUUGGUCAACCGGUUGACCAAAAAGUCAAUAGUUGACCAAAGUCAACUAUAGGCCAAAAGUCAUUUUUUUUGUAUUUUUUUGUAUUUUAUUCAUGUAUGGAUAUUUUUAUGAUCUAUGUAAUGCAAUUUGGUAUUUGAAUGAAAUGGAUUAGUAUUUGAAUGAAUUGGAUACUUG